Molecule: long non-coding RNA, 976 nt
Organism: Patiria miniata (bat star)
Lineage: Eukaryota; Metazoa; Echinodermata; Asteroidea; Valvatida; Asterinidae
Exons: 2
Source: RefSeq, a predicted model, not a curated record
AAUGAUCUGGAUCAUUGACUGAUAGAUGCGUCCAACAUCAUGAAGACAACCUGUAGAGGUCCAGCUGUCAUGCUGGUUAUUGCAUGCUGUUCAGCUUGUGUUAAUGCUACUAAAUUUAAGGUGUCCAAACAGUGAGUGAAUGUCAGCGACAACCUUCAACAUUAGGAGGCAAACCAAAGAUAGACGGGUCCUACAGUGUUCAGUCAGUUCAAACCAAACUCUCUACUGCAAAUAGACCUCACAAAUUUUGUUUAAUUUUUUUUUAAAUUUAGCAGAAAAUACUUAAAGAAAUUCUAAUUAUUGACUGAAAACCACUUUUGUUUAAUCCUGACAUUAUCUUUGAUUAUGUGGAUUAGGUGACACAAGUGUUAUACUUGAGAUUUUUAAAAUGUACUGAAAAUGUACCACAAUCAUUAAAUAAUUGCAGCUAUACAACCUGACAGUUCAUUUUCAAUGAUUACAAUACAUACAUGUAUGUACCUGAAUGCUGUAUUCUGUGCAAGUUGGUUAAAAUAAUCAGCUAUAUAAUAGACUGGUGAAACAAACUGUUCACACCAUCAAUUUAUUAAUGAAAAACAUCUGUGUGCUGUUAAAUUGUACUUGUAACAUUUGGUGCUCAUAUGUCUCUAAAAAAAAUGAAAGAAUUGUUUGUACUAAGAGAGUCAACUGCAUUCAUUUAAAAAAAAAGUUAACAAAUGUAUAAGGAUAUUCGGAAUUUAUUAAAGAAAAAUGUGUAUUGAAGAUAACGCACUCUUAAAGCAUUCUUUCUUAUGUCUAAGUUUCCCUUCGUUGAAUUUUAGGUGUUUCAUUUUAAGUGCACCAUUUCAGGAUUACUUGUAGAAUUUUUUAGUUCAUGAAUUUUUUUUUUUUUUUUUUUGAACACGAAAUCGGGUUGCGAAAUUUUAACCACGGGAAUUGGUCAAAAUGGCUGACCACGGCAAUGGGGUUAAAUUGACCACGGAAUUGGGUUAAAAAU